Mangifera indica (mango) is the source of this 2018-nucleotide RNA transcript. It is a transcript of the gene named CMP-sialic acid transporter 2-like, with no coding region annotated. The transcript has 19 exons. NCBI's taxonomy places the organism in Eukaryota, Viridiplantae, Streptophyta, Magnoliopsida, Sapindales, Anacardiaceae. The record is from RefSeq and is a predicted model, not a curated record.
ACGUAUCACAUUCAAAUCACAAAACCGCUCUGUCGUUUUAGUCAAAACCUGACUUUUCACACCGUCGUUUGCACAAAAACGAUGAUCGAAUGCAGUGUUUGUCACUCAAAGCUCGAACUAAACACUGAAGGAACGCCCAAAGCCUACGUUAAACGCCGAACCGAACGCUCCUCCAAAACGCGCUUCCUCCACGUCCUUUUGGUCGUCGGCGACUGCGUUUUGGUCGGUUUGCAGCCUGUUCUGGUUUAUAUGAGUAAAGUUGAUGGAGGCUUCAGAUUCAGUCCAAUCAGUGUCAAUUUUUUUACUGAAAUAGCGAAGGUUCUCUUCGCUGUUGUUAUGCUCUUUUUUCAGGCUCGACAUAAGAAAGUUGGAGAGAAAUCUCUUCUCUCAUUUUCAACCCUUGUACAGGCGGCUCAUGAUAAUGUGCUUCUUGCUGUUCCUGCUUUCCUUUAUGCUAUCAAUAAUUAUUUAAAGUUCAUUAUGCAGCUUUAUUUCACUCCUGCGACUGUGAAGAUGCUGAGCAACCUGAAGGUUUUUGUGAUUGCUCUCCUGUUAAAGAUAAUAAUGAAACGUCGGUUUUCCAUCAUUCAGUGGGAGGCUCUUGCUCUUUUGCUUAUUGGAAUCAGUGUGAAUCAGUUGCGGUCCUUACCAGAGGGCACCACUGUUAUGGGUAUUCCACUUGCAACAGGGGCAUACUUAUGUACUCUAGUAUUUGUCACAGUUCCUUCUCUUGGAUCAGUUUAUAAUGAGUAUGCUUUGAAGAGUCAAUUUGAGACAAGCAUUUACCUUCAGAACUUGUUUCUGUAUGGAUAUGGUGCCGUAUUCAACUUCAUAGGAUUUGUUGUAACUGUCAUUUAUGAAGGUACCAGUGGCUUGGACAUCCUGCAUGGAUAUUCAAAGGCUACCAUGCUUUUGAUAUGCAACAAUGCAGCCCAAGGGAUUUUGUCAGCAUUCUUCUUCAAAUAUGCAGAUACAAUUUUGAAAAAGUACUCGUCUACGGUUGCCACAAUAUUUACAGGAUUAGCAUCCGCUGCACUGUUCGGUCAUAGCCUGACUAUAAAUUUUGUUCUUGGAAUCUCCAUUGUCUUUAUAUCCAUGCAUCAGUUCUUUUCACCUCUUUCAAAGGUUAAAGAUGAACCACAAAGUGGCAGUCUGGAAAUGAUAGAAAGUUGGAAAAAUCAGAGGUCAAAGGAUAUGUCCUUCAUAAAUAUGGCAGCUGUGGCAAAUGAAGCGACUCAUGGUGUGGGCAACGAGGAGACAGCAGCACUUCUUCCCAUUUAAACUUGUUGUGAGUUUUGGAUUGCUAUUGGAGUAUAUAUUACCAAAGGCAUAUUCUCAAGACGAUAAGAGUUGAUUGUACACAACUUUUAGCAACUCGAUACAAGUAUUUAGUUGAAGAUGUUGCUAAUGGCUUGGUUGCUUACUGUUUUGGGUGAAAGACAGUGAUGACAAACAGCUAUACUUCUGCUCUGAUUUUUUCACAAAUAUAAUGAAAUGGUGUCUAUCAACCACAAAUUGGUUACAGACUUAUGCAGCGUCAAAAUUUUUGAAAACUUGAGAACAAAGUUAACACCGAAGCAGUUAGACAUGUUUUGGUGUUGAUAUAUUACUGUUUUCUAUUGCACAAAGACAUGCAAAGAUGCAUACUGAGACUUGAACUCUGCAUACUAAAAUGGGGUUUCAAGUAAAGAACCAAUGAAUGAAUGCCGAAGAACUGUGCUUCAACUUGUGUUCUUAAUGCGACAAAUAAUUAAUGUACGGGGGUAACAAUCAGUCAUUCUGAGAGAUUGGCCUGGCAAGAGUCACCUAAUGAUAUUGAAGGUAUGCUAUCUACCAGAAUUGGGAUGGAUGGUAGGAUCAAAUACCGUUGUUACAGAGAGUUUAAGAAUUGAAAAAUUGUAAGGAUAUUGAAUCAUUAUUGAGAAAUUGUACAUUUAUAGUAAGUUUGGUUCAGUUAAUCUUUUAGUACUGAAAAUGGAAAAUUAUUACAAAAAUGAAUUAUUUAAAAAAUUACUGGA